This 570-nucleotide long non-coding RNA is filed under the name Ananas comosus (pineapple). RNAcentral's name for it is "long non-coding RNA (ACOM_LNC002617)". The record is from RNAcentral. Lineage: Eukaryota; Viridiplantae; Streptophyta; Magnoliopsida; Poales; Bromeliaceae.
CGCGUUCGACAAGAUAACAUAUAUAUGUGCAUGAAAUGACUCCAUUUUGAUUAGAUAUAAUUAUAAAUGCAGUGUAGUUAAAGAUGCAUGUAGUUGGAAAUACAGCAGCUAUAACUAUAUGAAUCUUGUUUGGUUGGAUGUAGUAGAAGCGCUGCAAGUAUAAAUAAUUUGUUUGAUUGCAUGUAAUUGAGAAAUAAUUUUUAAAAUUUUACUAUUUUAUAUAUAUGAUGGUGAGAUUACCUCCAAUGUAAAAAAAAAUAAUAAUAAUUUUUGUUUAAAAAAUAUUAAAGAGGUAAGCAUAUCUUUUAUUUAAAACUACUCCCUCGAUCUGCUGUAGUUGAAACUGCGGCCAAUUUGAGCGUAGUUCGAACUGCUGUAGUUGAGCCUCCUCCUGCAGUUCCUACUGCAACAGUAAAAGUUAAAUACAUCAAAUCAAAUACGAAAUUUGCAUUUACUUAUAUAUAGUUACAAUUGUAAUGCAGUUGCAGCUACAUACAACCAAACAGCCCCUAAAUAUAUAUUAUUAUACCAGUUAGAUUAUAUGGUGAUAGGUUUGUGUCUCAUAUAGUG